CCUACGGGAGGCAGCAGUCGAGAAUCAUUCACAAUGGGGGAAACCCUGAUGGUGCGACGCCGCGUGGGGGAAUGAAGGUCUUCGGAUUGUAAACCCCUGUCAUGUGGGAGCAAAUUAAAAAGAUAGUACCACAAGAGGAAGAGACGGCUAACUCUGUGCCAGCAGCCGCGGUAAUACAGAGGUCUCAAGCGUUGUUCGGAAUCACUGGGCGUAAAGCGUGCGUAGGCUGUUUCGUAAGUCGUGUGUGAAAGGCGCGGGCUCAACCCGCGGACGGCACAUGAUACUGCGAGACUAGAGUAAGGGAGGGGGAACCGGAAUUCUCGGUGUAGCAGUGAAAUGCGUAGAUAUCGAGAGGAACACUCGUGGCGAAGGCGGGUUCCUGCACAUUAACUGACGCUGAGGCACGAAGGCCAGGGGAGCGAAAGGGAUUAGAUACCCUGGUAGUC
RNAcentral lists this ribosomal RNA (446 nucleotides) under uncultured bacterium. RNAcentral's name for it is "partial 16S ribosomal RNA". It matches the Rfam family "Bacterial small subunit ribosomal RNA", at positions 338 to 795 of the family's 1533-position model. The record is from RNAcentral.